UACGGAGGGGGCUAGCGUUGUUCGGAAUUACUGGGCGUAAAGCGCGCGUAGGCGGCUUUGUAAGUUAGAGGUGAAAGCCCGGGGCUCAACCCCGGAACUGCCUUUAAAACUGCAUCGCUUGAAUCCGGGAGAGGUGAGUGGAAUUCCGAGUGUAGAGGUGAAAUUCGUAGAUAUUCGGAAGAACACCAGUGGCGAAGGCGACUUACUGGACACAUAUUGACGCUGAGGUGCGAAAGCGUGGGGAGCAAACAGG
Molecule: ribosomal RNA, 253 nt
Filed under: uncultured bacterium
Lineage: Bacteria
Description: partial 16S ribosomal RNA
Rfam family: Bacterial small subunit ribosomal RNA
Source: RNAcentral